RNAcentral lists this ribosomal RNA (465 nucleotides) under uncultured Klebsiella sp. RNAcentral's name for it is "bacterial SSU rRNA". It matches the Rfam family "Bacterial small subunit ribosomal RNA", at positions 338 to 795 of the family's 1533-position model. Lineage: Bacteria; Pseudomonadati; Pseudomonadota; Gammaproteobacteria; Enterobacterales; Enterobacteriaceae. The record is from RNAcentral.
CCUACGGGCGGCAGCAGUGGGGAAUAUUGCACAAUGGGCGCAAGCCUGAUGCAGCCAUGCCGCGUGUGUGAAGAAGGCCUUCGGGUUGUAAAGCACUUUCAGCGGGGAGGAAGGCGGUGAGGUUAAUAACCUCAUCGAUUGACGUUACCCGCAGAAGAAGCACCGGCUAACUCCGUGCCAGCAGCCGCGGUAAUACGGAGGGUGCAAGCGUUAAUCGGAAUUACUGGGCGUAAAGCGCACGCAGGCGGUCUGUCAAGUCGGAGGUGAAAUCCCCGGGCUCAACCUGGGAACUGCAUUCGAAACUGGCAGGUUAGAGUCUUGUAGAGGGGGGUAGAAUUCCAGGUGUAGCGGUGAAAUGCGUAGAGAUCUGGAGGAAUACCGGUGGCGAAGGCGGCCCCCUGGACAAAGACUGACGCUCAGGUGCGAAAGCGUGGGGAGCAAACAGGAUUAGAUACCCGAGUAGUC